Molecule: non-coding RNA, 475 nt
Organism: Pan troglodytes (chimpanzee)
Lineage: Eukaryota; Metazoa; Chordata; Mammalia; Primates; Hominidae
Source: the annotation of a RefSeq genome assembly
AUGGAGUUUGUGCUGAGCUGGGUUUUCCUUGUUGCUAUAUUAAAAGGUGUCCAGUGUGAGGUUCAGCUGGUGCAGUCUGGGGGAGGCUUGGUACAGCCUGGGGGGUCCCUGAGACUCUCCUGUGCAGGCUCUGGAUUCACCUUCAGUAGCUAUGCUAUGCACUGGGUUCGCCAGGCUCCAGGAAAAGGUCUGGAGUGGGUGUCAGCUAUUGGUACUGGUGGUGGCACAUACUAUGCAGACUCCGUGAAGGGCCGAUUCACCAUCUCCAGAGACAAUGCCAAGAACUCCUUGUAUCUUCAAAUGAACAGCCUGAGAGCCGAGGACAUGGCUGUGUAUUACUGUGCAAGAGACACAGUGAGGGGAAGUCAGUGUGAGCCCAGACACAAACCUCUCUGCAGAAUGCUUGGGGGAAAUCAGCUGCGGGGGGCGCACAGGACCCACUGAUCAGAGUCAUCCCCAGAGGCAAGUUGCAGAU